Non-coding RNA from Cinara cedri, 215 nucleotides. Lineage: Eukaryota; Metazoa; Arthropoda; Insecta; Hemiptera; Aphididae. The record is from the annotation of a GenBank genome assembly.
AACGGCAACGUCGAGAUAUCGAUACACUUGCGCCGGUACGAAUAACGACAUCGAUUGCAUUGUCACCGGCGAUGCAACAACGGAAUCCUGAAACCUGUUAACGACACGGUCUAAACAAGUGUUGCGGGUUAAAAUAAUUUUUUUUUUUUUUGUACACAGUCGCCGUUAUCGCGGUGUUUGGACGGAACGCGUUCGACGAUUACGCGACUUUUUUG